ACAAAUCAUUCAUCGCUUUCUUCGCAGUAUUGAAAUUAUUUUUAGGAUUUAAUAUUGUACAUUUUUUAGCAUUCGAAAAUAAAAAAUAUAUAUAAGUGUGGUUUUAGAAAGCAAUGGCUUAUUCACCUCUUAGACCUAAUUUUACAAAUAAAAAUAUAAAAUGUCUAUUUUUAGAAUUAAAAAAUUGGGUUAAUUGCAUAUAGGUCCCUGUAAAUAUAGCAAAAUAUAAAUAUAUUCCUACAAAGUUUAAUUUUAUAUGCUGUCUCUGUAAAAGUUCUGAUAUUUUCAAAUAUGUUCCUACCGUUAGAAUUAGUUAGAGAAAUUUAGUUAAUCAUAGGUUAAAUACUUAACUCCAGUUAGUUAAUGAGGUGAAUUGAUCUUUUUACCCCUUUUAAUGAGGUGAAUUGAUCUUUUUACCCCUUUUUAAUUAACAGUUGGGACUUUUGGAAGAAUAUAUAUUUGUGAUGGCAAAAAUGUCAUUUUACUUAUAAAAUAGAUAGUGUUUUAAUGAUAACAAAUUAGAAGAACAUAUUUGAAAAUAUUAGAAUUUUUAUAGGAACAAUAUAUGAAAGUUAAACUUUGUAGGAAUAUAUUUAUAUUUCACCAUUUUUAUAAGGACCUGAAUGAAAUUAAUCCAAACUAAAAAAAUUCUAUAAACAUAGUCACCCAAGUAGGCUCUUUUUUUUC
Molecule: long non-coding RNA, 687 nt
Filed under: Ananas comosus (pineapple)
Lineage: Eukaryota; Viridiplantae; Streptophyta; Magnoliopsida; Poales; Bromeliaceae
Description: long non-coding RNA (ACOM_LNC011695)
Source: RNAcentral